GGGCCGGUAGCUCAGGGGUAGAGCGCUCGCUUUGCAUGCGAGAGGUCUAGGGUUCAAAUCCCUACCGGUCCA
RNAcentral lists this transfer RNA (72 nucleotides) under Nemania serpens. Its description in RNAcentral is "tRNA-Ala". It matches the Rfam family "tRNA". Rfam says of the family: Transfer RNA (tRNA) molecules are approximately 80 nucleotides in length. Lineage: Eukaryota; Fungi; Ascomycota; Sordariomycetes; Xylariales; Xylariaceae. The record is from RNAcentral.